Molecule: ribosomal RNA, 653 nt
Filed under: uncultured bacterium
Lineage: Bacteria
Description: bacterial SSU rRNA
Rfam family: Bacterial small subunit ribosomal RNA
Source: RNAcentral
AAAAGGUGGCUAUGCUACCGCUUUUGGAUGGGCCCGCGGCGCAUUAGCUAGUUGGUGGGGUAGAGGCUUACCAAGGCAAUGAUGCGUAGCCGAACUGAGAGGUUGAUCGGCCACAUUGGGACUGAGACACGGCCCAAACUCCUACGGGAGGCAGCAGUAGGGAAUCUUCCACAAUGGGCGAAAGCCUGAUGGAGCAACGCCGCGUGGGUGAAGAAGGUCUUCGGAUCGUAAAACCCUGUUGUUAGAGAAGAAAGUGCGUGAGAGUAACUGUUCACGUUUCGACGGUAUCUAACCAGAAAGCCACGGCUAACUACGUGCCAGCAGCCGCGGUAAUACGUAGGUGGCAAGCGUUAUCCGGAUUUAUUGGGCGUAAAGGGAACGCAGGCGGUCUUUUAAGUCUGAUGUGAAAGCCUUCGGCUUAACCGGAGUAGUGCAUUGGAAACUGGGAGACUUGAGUGCAGAAGAGGAGAGUGGAACUCCAUGUGUAGCGGUGAAAUGCGUAGAUAUAUGGAAGAACACCAGUGGCGAAAGCGGCUCUCUGGUCUGUAACUGACGCUGAGGUUCGAAAGCGUGGGUAGCAAACAGGAUUAGAUACCCUGGUAGUCCACGCCGUAAACGAUGAAUGCUAAGUGUUGGAGGGUUUCCGCCCUUCA